RNAcentral lists this ribosomal RNA (420 nucleotides) under uncultured bacterium. RNAcentral describes it as "bacterial SSU rRNA". It matches the Rfam family "Bacterial small subunit ribosomal RNA", at positions 355 to 786 of the family's 1533-position model. The record is from RNAcentral.
UGGGGAAUAUUGCACAAUGGGGGAAAGACCCUGAUGCAGCAACGCCGCGUGAAGGAAGAUGGUUUUCGGAUUGUAAACUUCUUUUCUUAGUGAAGAAGCAAGUGACGGUAGCUAAGGAAUAAGCAUCGGCUAACUACGUGCCAGCAGCCGCGGUAAUACGUAGGAUGCGAGCGUUAUCCGGAAUUACUGGGUGUAAAGGGAGCGCAGGCGGGACUGCAAGUUGGAUGUGAAAUACCGCAGCUUAACUGCAGAGCUGCAUCCAAAACUGUAGUUCUUGAGUGGAGUAGAGGCAAGCGGAAUUCCGAGUGUAGCGGUGAAAUGCGUAGAUAUUCGGAGGAACACCAGUGGCGAAGGCGGCUUGCUGGGCUCUAACUGACGCUGAGGCUCGAAAAGCGUGGGGAGCAAACAGGAUUAGAUACC